GCCAGCAGCCAUAUCACCCUGCAGCUCCCAACUUGGCUCCCACUGAAGCUAAGCAGGGUAGAGCCUGGUCAGUACCUGGUUGGGAGACCUCCUGGGAAGCUAUGGUUGCUGCUGGAA
RNAcentral lists this ribosomal RNA (117 nucleotides) under Lepisosteus oculatus (spotted gar). The record is from RNAcentral. Lineage: Eukaryota; Metazoa; Chordata; Actinopteri; Semionotiformes; Lepisosteidae.